This 436-nucleotide ribosomal RNA is filed under the name uncultured bacterium. Its description in RNAcentral is "partial 16S ribosomal RNA". It matches the Rfam family "Bacterial small subunit ribosomal RNA", at positions 29 to 507 of the family's 1533-position model. The record is from RNAcentral.
AGCGAACGCUGGCGGCAGGCUUAACACAUGCAAGUCGAGCGGGCAUCCUUGUGGUGUCCGCGGCAGACGGGUGAGUAACGCGUGGGAACGUGCCCUUCGGUUCGGAAUAACUCAGUGAAACUUGAGCUAAUACCGGAUACGCCCUUUUGGGGAAAGGUUUACUGCCGAAGGAUCGGCCCGCGUCUGAUUAGCUAGUUGGUGAGGUUACGGCUCACCAAGGCGACGAUCAGUAGCUGGUCUGAGAGGCUGAUCAGCCACACUGGGACUGAGACACGGCCCAGACUCCUACGGGAGGCAGCAGUGGGGAAUAUUGGACAAUGGGGGCAACCCUGAUCCAGCCAUGCCGCGUGAGUGAUAACAGCCUUAGGGUUGUAAAGCUCUUUUCUCCGGGACGAUAAUGACGGUACCGGAGGAAUAAGCCCCGGCUAACUUCGUG